GUGGCUCAUAGUUUUCAAAACCUACAAGGAGCUACCAGUGGAGACUGACCAAGACAUGGACACAUCCCCGCCAUUGUAGAACUUAUGGUCCAGCAGGGUGUCGAGACAAACUUUCAGGACAAUUAACUGUGGUAUUUGUCCUACUUGGGGGCUUGAAACAAGAUCAGUCAUAGAAGCAAUGACAAGAGGACACAGUUAUUUUUUGCUGGAGUAUAAAACCUUCCAGUGAGCACUCCUGGUUUUACUACCCUCCCUGCCCAUGGUUGCAUGUGGUUUGCGCUCUCCUCAACAAAUGACUUCCCCUAUUGGAAACUUCAGCAUGAAAAGAAAUGCCUGACUCUUAGGUGAAACAUGAUCCUUCUGUGGCCAUAAACUUUAAACUCAAUUUAUUACGUUGGAGAGGUUUUUGGACAAACCUGUAAGGAAAUUAUAUCACCCAAUCAUUGUUUUCUAAAGAACAGACUACAGGGAAGGAGAACUGAUCUUACAGCAGCUGCAUUUGAUUUGGUAAAGCAACUAGGAGAAAAAAUAUCCAAGACUCUAAGAGCACAACGUGUUUAGCUGUAAAAGUGUUUUUCUGAAGAUCUCAUUCUCAUCUGCUAUCAUUUGCCUGUCCAAGGCCAAGGCGUUUAUAGAUCAUACAUGUACCGUUUCCAAAAUGUAUAUGUAGACUCACUAGAAUGCUAAGACCAAAAGUAAGUGGUUCACUAUAAAAGACACAUUUUACAGUCAUGAACAGUCGGCUUUGGGAAAGAAAACCCUACAAACAUACGUGCUGGAAUUAAAUUUCAAGACUCCAUGAAGGCAAGGAAAGGGUAGAAUUUUAAGGCUGGAAAGGAUCAUUCGGUUGAAAUCUCUUGUUGAUACACAAAGAAUUUGAAAUCCAGAGAAGUCAGUGACUUACAUGAGGUCACCCAGUUAGGUUGUGUUCUGGCUAAGUCAGGUUGUCAGAACGCUGGUCCCCAAACCUCCUCCUCUAACACUAUUGUGGUCUCUUAAAUUUCUGGUCCUGUUUGGGACAUGAACAUGCCCAAUUGUAAUGUAACCUAAGACUCUUAAUGACAAUGACAAGUGCUCUGUAUAGAUGAUGUGUGAAUGGCACUUCCUGACUUUGAUGGAGUUUAAUGCAUUAUUUAAAUUAGUCAUAGAGGAAGAGGGUUUGUGUGUGUGUGUGUGUAUAACUGCUUUGCGGAUCUCUCUCUAUCUCAGAAAGGGAAUUGGACUAACCAUGACUGUUCCAGCCAACCAGGAAAUGAAUGAAGCUCAACCAGAGAAAUCAAGGAUGCUGUGAUUUGGCCAA
Leptonychotes weddellii (Weddell seal) is the source of this 1300-nucleotide non-coding RNA. Lineage: Eukaryota; Metazoa; Chordata; Mammalia; Carnivora; Phocidae. The record is from RefSeq and is a predicted model, not a curated record.